Molecule: small nucleolar RNA, 83 nt
Filed under: Thermochaetoides thermophila DSM 1495
Lineage: Eukaryota; Fungi; Ascomycota; Sordariomycetes; Sordariales; Chaetomiaceae
Description: Chaetomium thermophilum var. thermophilum DSM 1495 Small nucleolar RNA snR73
Rfam family: Small nucleolar RNA snR73
Source: Rfam by way of RNAcentral
GUAGUGAUGAUUCAAAUUUUUUCACGACGGUCUACAUAGCUAUGCUUUGAUGACACUGCCGGUGACACGGCUUGAAACUGAAC